GAUGAACGCUGGCGGCGUGCCUAAUACAUGCGAGUCGAGCGAACGGACGAGAAGCUUGCUUCUCUGAUGUUAGCGGCGGACGGGUGAGUAACACGUGGAUAACCUACCUAUAAGACUGGGAUAACUUCGGGAAACCGUGGCUAAUACCGGAUAAUAUUUUGAACCGCAUGGUUCAAAAGUGAAAGACGGUCUUGCUGUCACUUAUAGAUGGAUCCGCGCUGCAUUAGCUAGUUGGUAAGGUAACGGCUUACCAAGGCAACGAUGCAUAGCCGACCUGAGAGGGUGAUCGGCCACACUGGAACUGAGACACGGUCCAGACUCCUACGGGAGGCAGCAGUAGGGAAUCUUCCGCAAUGGGCGAAAGCCUGACGGAGCAACGCCGCGUGAGUGAUGAAGGUCUUCGGAUCGUAAAACUCUGUUAUUAGGGAAGAACAUAUGUGUAAGUAACUGUGCACAUCUUGACGGUACCUAAUCAGAAAGCCACGGCUAACUACGUG
This 497-nucleotide ribosomal RNA is filed under the name uncultured bacterium. RNAcentral's name for it is "partial 16S ribosomal RNA". It matches the Rfam family "Bacterial small subunit ribosomal RNA", at positions 28 to 507 of the family's 1533-position model. The record is from RNAcentral.